Molecule: ribosomal RNA, 253 nt
Filed under: uncultured bacterium
Lineage: Bacteria
Description: partial 16S ribosomal RNA
Rfam family: Bacterial small subunit ribosomal RNA
Source: RNAcentral
UACGUAGGGGGCAAGCGUUGUCCGGAUUUAUUGGGCGUAAAGAGCGUGUAGGCGGCUAGGUAGGUCCGUUGUGAAAACUCGAGGCUCAACCUCGAGACGUCGAUGGAAACCAUCUAGCUAGAGUCCGGAAGAGGAGAGUGGAAUUCCUGGUGUAGCGGUGAAAUGCGCAGUUAUCAGGAGGAACACCGAUGGCGAAGGCAGCACUCUGGGCCGGCACUGACGCUGAGGAGCGAAAGCUAGGGGAGCAAACAGG